UUUGCGGCGGCCAUGGCCCAGGAGAGACGCCCGGUCCCAUUCCGAACCCGGAAGCUAAGGCCUGGCACGGCGAUGGUACUGCACCCGACAGGGUGUGGGAGAGUAGCACGCCGCCGCACC
This 120-nucleotide ribosomal RNA is filed under the name Bifidobacterium bifidum. RNAcentral also lists the same sequence under 1 other name. Lineage: Bacteria; Bacillati; Actinomycetota; Actinomycetes; Bifidobacteriales; Bifidobacteriaceae. The record is from RNAcentral.